RNAcentral lists this transfer RNA (76 nucleotides) under Actinomadura sp. HBU206391. Its description in RNAcentral is "tRNA-Leu". It matches the Rfam family "tRNA". Rfam says of the family: Transfer RNA (tRNA) molecules are approximately 80 nucleotides in length. Their secondary structure includes four short double-helical elements and three loops (D, anti-codon, and T loops). Further hydrogen bonds mediate the characteristic L-shaped molecular structure. tRNAs have two regions of fundamental functional importance: the anti-codon, which is responsible for specific mRNA codon recognition, and the 3' end, to which the tRNAs corresponding amino acid is attached (by aminoacyl-tRNA synthetases). tRNAs cope with the degeneracy of the genetic code in two manners: having more than one tRNA (with a specific anti-codon) for a particular amino acid; and 'wobble' base-pairing, i.e. permitting non-standard base-pairing at the 3rd anti-codon position. The record is from RNAcentral. Lineage: Bacteria; Bacillati; Actinomycetota; Actinomycetes; Streptosporangiales; Thermomonosporaceae.
CAGCGUGUAGCUCAGUCAGUAGAGCGCCGGGCUCAAAACCCGUAGGGCGCGGGGGCGGAACCCGCCACGCUGGCCA